UCCGGUUCAUCACCAGCAGUCUCCUUAGAGUCCCCACCAUUACAUGUUGGCAACUAAGGAUAAGGGUUGCGCUCGUUACGGGACUUAACCCAACAUCUCACAACACGAGCUGACGACAGCCAUGCAGCACCUGUCUCUGCGUUCCUUUCGGCACAACCAUAUCUCUACAGUCUUCGCAGGAUGUCAAGGGCAGGUAAGGUUCUUCGCGUUGCAUCGAAUUAAACCACAUGCUCCACCGCUUGUGCGGGCCCCCGUCAAUUCCUUUGAGUUUUAACCUUGCGGUCGUACUCCCCAGGCGGAAAACUUAUCGCGUUAGCUUCGAUACUAAACAGUCAUGCUGUCCAACAUCUAGUUUUCAUCGUUUACAGCGUGGACUAC
Molecule: unclassified non-coding RNA, 378 nt
Filed under: uncultured Gammaproteobacteria bacterium
Lineage: Bacteria; Pseudomonadati; Pseudomonadota; Gammaproteobacteria
Description: contains 16S-23S intergenic spacer region
Source: RNAcentral